ACGUAGGUGGCGAGCGUUGUCCGGAAUUAUUGGGCGUAAAGCGCGCGUAGGCGGGAUAUUAAGUCUGCUCUAAAAGUGCGGGGCUUAACUCCGUAAUGGGGUGGAAACUAAUAUUCUUGAGUGCCGGAGAGGAAAGCGGAAUUCCCAGUGUAGCGGUGAAAUGCGUAGAUAUUGGGAGGAACACCAGUGGCGAAGGCGGCUUUCUGGACGGUGUCUGACGCUGAGGCGCGAAAGCCAGGGGAGCGAACGG
RNAcentral lists this ribosomal RNA (250 nucleotides) under uncultured prokaryote. RNAcentral's name for it is "partial 16S rRNA". It matches the Rfam family "Bacterial small subunit ribosomal RNA", at positions 525 to 775 of the family's 1533-position model. The record is from RNAcentral.